AGUGAACGCUGGCGGCAGGCCUAACACAUGCAAGUCGAGCGGCAGCGGGUCCUUCGGGCUGCCGGCGAGCGGCGGACGGGUGAGGAAUACAUCGGAAUCUGCCCUGUCGUGGGGGAUAACCUAGGGAAACUUAGGCUAAUACCGCAUACGACCUACGGGUGAAAGCGGGGGAUCGCAAGACCUCGCGCGACAGGAUGAGCCGAUGUCCGAUUAGCUAGUUGGCGGGGUAAAGGCCCACCAAGGCGACGAUCGGUAGCUGGUCUGAGAGGAUGAUCAGCCAGACUGGGACUGAGAAACGGCCCAGACUCCUACGGGAGGCAGCAGUGGGGAAUAUUGGACGAUGGGCGCAAGCCUGAUCCAGCCAUGCCGGGUGGGUGAAGAAGGCCUUCGGGUUGGAAAGCCAUUUUGGCCGGGAGGAAAUCGUCUGGGCUAAUACCCCGGGCGGAUGACGGUACUGGAAGAAUAAGCACCGGCUAACUUCGUG
Molecule: ribosomal RNA, 484 nt
Filed under: uncultured bacterium
Lineage: Bacteria
Description: partial 16S ribosomal RNA
Rfam family: Bacterial small subunit ribosomal RNA
Source: RNAcentral